GUGCGUGGUCUGGUUCUCCAGAGCUGUAGCUCACUUUAGAGACGGCCUGGGAAGGCGGGGAGGAAAAGGGGUGCGGGAAAUUUAAAAGGGAAGGAAAAGAACUUCCUUUUCUUCUCAUCCGCUUCCUAUUUAUUUAUUUAUUUCUGGAACACUUCUUUCUUAUUGGACGAAGAGACGGAAGAGAUUGCUUCAUUUUACAGUCACCCUAGAAACGCCUCCGUCCUUCUCAGAAAGGAGAGUUGGCAGCGGGUCUGGCUGGCAUUGUGGGAUCUGUACAGGAUCCGCUCUUUGCUCCCGGUCCACGCCGAAGCUGUCAUCGGCUUAGAAUAGCGGUUAAGAAGUGUGGUGUGGAUGGAUGGACGGACCUACCACACGAAAAGCUCAGAAGCCCAGUAAUAUUAAGCAAACACCUUUUUUUUUUUUUUUUUUUGCCUUUGAUCUUUGUGCAAUAUGUUGGCUUUUUCCCCCCUCUGAUAUCACUUGUGUUUUAUUUUUUAUUUGUAGAAUGUCUCCAUCCUUAACCUUAACUUGACUUUUAUAUGCACCCAUUGCUCCUCUGCACAGAGUGGUGUACAAGAUGUGUUUGUGCCUAUAUGAUCUCCCACCAUGAUGCGCCACCAUCUAUUGCCCUCAUUGAAAGCCAAAACAGUGUCCUCUCAUCAGUCUCCUCAUCUUGGACUUUGAACCUCUAAAACUGUGAGCUAAAUAAACCUUUUCUCUUUAUAAGUUACUUGCCUUUGGCAUUUCACUGUAGUAACACAAAGCAAACUAAUACAAUGCCCUUCCAUUACUUUGCACCUGUUCUGCGUAAUCAAACCUAGAUUAUUUCACAGUCUGCUUUUCCUGUUCUUCCUUCUCAAACAACAGGGCUGGAGAAAAUUAUAUGAUGUAGAGUCUUGUGCUGUUGCAGAUUCUGGCUCAACUGAACCCUCAGAAACUGUAUAGAUUCCUUAACUUGUCUUUGAUCAAUUUUCACCAGUAAAUAUACCUACUUUGUCUUUGUCUUUCUAUUCAAGACACAAUCAACUCAGAACUCACAUUCCUAACAAAAGUUUUCUACCUCCUAUUUAAAGGAGAAAACAUUGAGGCCACCUUCAACAUCCCCAUGCCUCUACCAUCUUUUCCUCCUCUUUUUCAAAGGUCAAAACUUCCCAUUUCUUUCAGGGCUUAAACAAUUAUUUUCUUUCUUUUUUCUUUCAGCCACACCUUCAACACUGUCCUCCCCUCAGUUCAUGUGUUCAUCUCUCUUAUCUAAUCCAAAAGCUUGACUAAUGAAGUGCACUGAUGUCUGAAACUUUCUUUGAAAUGAAUCAAAUAAAAAACUAGGUGGAUGAAUGGGUGGAUAAAUAUGUUAUAAACCAAAUAAAACAAAAUGCUGUUUGGAGAAUAUAGGUGAUGGUUACAUGGGUGUUCACUGUACCAUUCUUUCAGUGUUUCUGAAUGUUUAAAAAAUGUCAUAAUAAAAAUGUUGAGUGAAUAAGGCUUCCAAUCCAGUAUCUUUCUCCAGCCAUCAUCCAAUCUCUCUUCUUUCUUUCUCCAUCUAAACUUUUUUAAAAAGUAGACUAUACUCACUACCUGUACUUCCUGUUUAUCUCCCAAUCACUGUUGUUUUCCUCAGAUCUUUAAAAAACAUGUUAUAUAUACAGCUGAAGCCCUGUCCCUUUUUGCAGUAUUACUAGGGAUUGAGCCCAGGAACAUGCUACCACUAAACUACAUCCCUACCCCUUUUUAUUUUCUGAGACAGGGUCUCACUAAGUUGCCCAGGUUGGCCUCAAACUUGGGAUCCUCCUGCCUCAGCCUCCCAAGUAGCUGGAAUUACAAAUGUGCCCACCAUACCAAGCAUGAAGUCCUCUUUGUACUCCAU
Molecule: long non-coding RNA, 1864 nt
Organism: Heterocephalus glaber (naked mole-rat)
Lineage: Eukaryota; Metazoa; Chordata; Mammalia; Rodentia; Bathyergidae
Source: Ensembl